CGGGACGGGUGAGUAAUGUCUGGGAAACUGCCUGAUGGAGGGGGAUAACUACUGGAAACGGUAGCUAAUACCGCAUAACGUCGCAAGACCAAAGAGGGGGACCUUCGGGCCUCUUGCCAUCGGAUGUGCCCAGAUGGGAUUAGCUAGUAGGUGGGGUAACGGCUCACCUAGGCGACGAUCCCUAGCUGGUCUGAGAGGAUGACCAGCCACACUGGAACUGAGACACGGCCCAG
This 233-nucleotide ribosomal RNA is filed under the name uncultured bacterium. Its description in RNAcentral is "partial 16S ribosomal RNA". It matches the Rfam family "Bacterial small subunit ribosomal RNA", at positions 100 to 334 of the family's 1533-position model. The record is from RNAcentral.